RNAcentral lists this ribosomal RNA (481 nucleotides) under uncultured bacterium. Its description in RNAcentral is "partial 16S ribosomal RNA". It matches the Rfam family "Bacterial small subunit ribosomal RNA", at positions 29 to 506 of the family's 1533-position model. The record is from RNAcentral.
AUUGAACGCUGGCGGCAUGCUUUACACAUGCAAGUCGAACGGUAACAGGCCGCAAGGUGCUGACGAGUGGCGAACGGGUGAGUAAUGCAUCGGAACGUGCCCAGUCGUGGGGGAUAACUACUCGAAAGAGUAGCUAAUACCGCAUACGAUCUAUGGAUGAAAGCGGGGGACCGUAAGGCCUCGCGCGAUUGGAGCGGCCGAUGUCAGAUUAGGUAGUUGGUGGGGUAAAGGCUCACCAAGCCAACGAUCUGUAGCUGGUCUGAGAGGACGACCAGCCACAGGGGGAGUGAAGCAGGCGCGAGAGCCGUAGGGGGGAGAAGUGGGGGAGAUGUGGGAAAGGGGGCAAGAGCGUACGCAACAAAGGCCGGGAGAGAAAAAAAGGCUUGGGGGUUGAAAAUUUGUUUUGACAGGAGAAAAAGGGUUCUGGGUAAAACCGGGGGCUAAGGGGGGAAAGGAUAAAAAAAGCACCGGCAAACAAGGG